RNAcentral lists this ribosomal RNA (496 nucleotides) under uncultured bacterium. Its description in RNAcentral is "partial 16S ribosomal RNA". It matches the Rfam family "Bacterial small subunit ribosomal RNA", at positions 29 to 507 of the family's 1533-position model. The record is from RNAcentral.
AUGCACGCUGGCGGCGUGCCUAAUACCUGCAAGUCGCGCGAACAGACGAGGAGCUUGCUCCUCUGACGUUAGCGGCGGACGGGUGAGUAACACGUGGAUAACCUACCUAUAAGACUGGGAUAACUUCGGGAAACCGGAGCUAAUACCGGAUAAUAUAUUGAACCGCAUGGUUCAAUAGUGAAAGACGGUUUUGCUGUCACUUAUAGAUGGAUCCGCGCCGCAUUAGCUAGUUGGUAAGGUAACGGCUUACCAAGGCGACGAUGCGUAGCCGACCUGAGAGGGUGAUCGGCCACACUGGAACUGAGACACGGUCCAGACUCCUACGGGAGGCAGCAGUAGGGAAUCUUCCGCAAUGGGCGAAAGCUUGACGGAGCAACGCCGCGUGAGUGAUGAAGGUCUUCGGAUCGUAAAACUCUGUUAUUAGGGAAGAACAAAUGUGUAAGUAACUAUGCACGUCUUGACGGUACCUAAUCAGAAAGCCACGGCUAACUACGUG